AACGCACCUUGCGCUCCUUGGUAUUCCGAGGAGCAUGCCUGUUUGAGUGUCAUUAAAUUCUCAACCUCUCUAGUUUUUUUGACUAGUAGAUGGCUUGGAUUUGGGAGUAUUUUUGCAGGCUUUCACAAGUCAGCUCUCCUUAAAUGUAUUAGCCGGUGCCCUCUAACCGUCUAUUGGUGUGAUAAUUAUCUACGCCGUGGACUAUUAGACUUGGUUGCGCUGCUUAUAAUCGUCCUCUGGACAAUAUUAUGACAUUUUGACCUCAAAUCAGGUAGGACUACCCGCUGAACUUAA
RNAcentral lists this unclassified non-coding RNA (294 nucleotides) under uncultured fungus. Its description in RNAcentral is "sequence contains ITS2". The stretch from base 1 to 52 matches the Rfam family "5.8S ribosomal RNA", at positions 103 to 154 of the family's 154-position model. The record is from RNAcentral. Lineage: Eukaryota; Fungi.